RNAcentral lists this ribosomal RNA (1863 nucleotides) under Acinetobacter baumannii. Its description in RNAcentral is "bacterial LSU rRNA". It matches the Rfam family "Bacterial large subunit ribosomal RNA", at positions 1109 to 2925 of the family's 2925-position model. The record is from RNAcentral. Lineage: Bacteria; Pseudomonadati; Pseudomonadota; Gammaproteobacteria; Moraxellales; Moraxellaceae.
GAAGCAGCCACCCUUUAAAGAAAGCGUAAUAGCUCACUAGUCGAGUCGGCCUGCGCGGAAGAUGUAACGGGGCUAAAACUAUGUGCCGAAGCUGCGGAUUUGACAUUAGUCAAGUGGUAGGGGAGCGUUCUGUAAGCCGAUGAAGGUGUAUUGAGAAGUAUGCUGGAGGUAUCAGAAGUGCGAAUGCUGACGUGAGUAACGACAAAACGGGUGAAAAACCCGUUCGCCGAAAGACCAAGGGUUCCAGUCCAACGUUAANNNNNNNNNNUCGGGGCUGGGUGAGUCGACCCCUAAGGCGAGGCCGAAAGGCGUAGUCGAUGGGAAAAUGGUUAAUAUUCCAUUACUUCUGUGUAAUGCGAUGAGAGGACGGAGAAGGCUAAAUCAGCCUGGCGUUGGUUGUCCAGGUGAAAGGAUGUAGGCAUGUAUCUUAGGCAAAUCCGGGGUACUCUAUGCUGAGAUCUGAUAGCAAGCUGUACUUGUACAGCGAAGUGGUUGAUGCCAUGCUUCCAGGAAAAGUCUCUAAGCUUCAGUUACACAGGAAUCGUACCCGAAACCGACACAGGUGGUCAGGUCGAGUAGACCAAGGCGCUUGAGAGAACUCUGCUGAAGGAACUAGGCAAAAUGGUACCGUAACUUCGGGAGAAGGUACGCUGUUGUUGGUGAUGGAACUCGCUUCCUGAGCUGACGACAGCCGCAGAAACCAGGCCGCUGCAACUGUUUAUUAAAAACAUAGCACUCUGCAAACACGAAAGUGGACGUAUAGGGUGUGAUGCCUGCCCGGUGCUGGAAGGUUAAUUGAUGGGGUUAGCGUAAGCGAAGCUCUUGAUCGAAGCCCCAGUAAACGGCGGCCGUAACUAUAACGGUCCUAAGGUAGCGAAAUUCCUUGUCGGGUAAGUUCCGACCUGCACGAAUGGCAUAAUGAUGGCGGCGCUGUCUCCAGCAGAGGCUCAGUGAAAUCGAAAUCGCUGUGAAGAUGCAGUGUACCCGCGGCUAGACGGAAAGACCCCGUGAACCUUUACUGCAGCUUGACACUGAACUUUGACCUUACUUGUGUAGGAUAGGUGGGAGGCUUUGAAGCUGGAACGCUAGUUCCAGUGGAGCCGUCCUUGAAAUACCACCCUGGUAAUGUUGAGGUUCUAACUCUGUCCCGUGAUCCGGGACGAGGACCGUGUCUGGUGGGUAGUUUGACUGGGGCGGUCUCCUCCUAAAGAGUAACGGAGGAGUACGAAGGUGCGCUCAGCGUGGUCGGAAAUCACGCGUAGAGUAUAAAGGCAAAAGCGCGCUUAACUGCGAGACCCACAAGUCGAGCAGGUACGAAAGUAGGUCUUAGUGAUCCGGUGGUUCUGUAUGGAAGGGCCAUCGCUCAACGGAUAAAAGGUACUCUGGGGAUAACAGGCUGAUACCGCCCAAGAGUUCAUAUCGACGGCGGUGUUUGGCACCUCGAUGUCGGCUCAUCUCAUCCUGGGGCUGAAGCAGGUCCCAAGGGUAUGGCUGUUCGCCAUUUAAAGAGGUACGCGAGCUGGGUUUAGAACGUCGUGAGACAGUUCGGUCCCUAUCUACCGUGGGCGCUGGAAAUUUGAGAGGAUCUGCUCCUAGUACGAGAGGACCAGAGUGGACGAACCUCUGGUGUACCGGUUGUGACGCCAGUCGCAUCGCCGGGUAGCUAUGUUCGGAAGGGAUAACCGCUGAAAGCAUCUAAGCGGGAAGCCUACCUCAAGAUAAGAUUUCCCUAGGACUUUAUGUCCUCUAAAGAGCCGUUCGAGACUAGGACGUUGAUAGGUUGGAUGUGGAAGCAUAGUGAUAUGUGAAGCUGACCAAUACUAAUUGCUCGUGAGGCUUGACUAUACAACACCCAAGCAGUUG